AGAUGCAAUCAUACCAGCACUAAUGCACCGGAUCCCAUCAGAACUCCGUAGUUAAGCGUGCUUGGGCGAGAGUAGUAUUAGGAUGGGUGACCUCCAGGAAAGUCCUAGUGUUGCAUCCC
RNAcentral lists this ribosomal RNA (119 nucleotides) under Arabidopsis thaliana x Arabidopsis arenosa. The record is from RNAcentral. Lineage: Eukaryota; Viridiplantae; Streptophyta; Magnoliopsida; Brassicales; Brassicaceae.